RNAcentral lists this ribosomal RNA (253 nucleotides) under uncultured bacterium. Its description in RNAcentral is "partial 16S ribosomal RNA". It matches the Rfam family "Bacterial small subunit ribosomal RNA", at positions 524 to 776 of the family's 1533-position model. The record is from RNAcentral.
UACGGGGGGGGCAAGCGUUGUUCGGAAUUACUGGGCGUAAAGGGUUUGUAGGUGGCCAACUAAGUCAGACGUGAAAUCCCUCAGCUUAACUGGGGAACUGCGUCUGAGACUGGAUGGCUUGAGUGCAGGAGAGGAACGCGGAAUUCCAGGUGUAGCGGUGAAAUGCGUAGAUAUCUGGAGGAACACCGGUGGCGAAGGCGGCGUUCUGGACUGCAACUGACACUGAAAAACGAAAGCCAGGGGAGCAAACAGG